This 1167-nucleotide ribosomal RNA is filed under the name Triticum aestivum (bread wheat). RNAcentral describes it as "partial small subunit ribosomal RNA". Lineage: Eukaryota; Viridiplantae; Streptophyta; Magnoliopsida; Poales; Poaceae. The record is from RNAcentral.
AUGCUCCUCCUCCUCCGGCAGCGCAUCCUCUCCCAUCUCCUCUCCGCGGCACCAGAUCCUUCCACCUCUCCACUCCUCUCUCUCCACCGCCUCCUCUCCGCCGCCACGCCCGCCAUUUCCCCGAACCCUAGCUUCGCCGUGGAGGACUACCUCGUCGGCACCUGCGGCCUCACCCGAGCCCAGGCACUCAAGGCCUCCGCCAAGCUCUCCCACCUCAGGUCCCCCUCCAAGCCCGAUGCCGUGCUCGCCUUCCUCGCCGGCCUCGGCCUCUCCGGCGCCGACGUGGCCGCCCUCGUCGCCAGGGACCCGCUCUUCCUCUGCGCCGGCGUGGAGAGAACUCUGGACCCCGUCGUCGCUGGGCUGACCGGCCUCGGCCUGUCAAAUGCUGAGACUGCGCGCCUCAUCUCGCUUGCACCGGACAGUUUCCGCCGCAGAUCCGUCGUCUCCAAGCUAGAGUACUACCUGCCGCUCUUCGGCUCCAUCGACAACUUGCUCCGGCCCCUCAAACACGGCUCCGGCUUCCUCUGCUCCGACCUAGAGAGGGGUGUCAAGCCCAAUGUCAAGCUCCUAGCAGAGUGCGGGCUAGGUGCUUGUGAUAUUGCCAAGCUCUUCAUCCGUGUACCGAGGAUACUUUGUGCCAAACCAGGGCGUGUCGUGACGAUGAUUGCGCGCGCCGAAGAUAUAGGUGUGCCUCGUGGCUCUGGAAUGUUCAGGCAAGCGCUGCACGCCGUCUCAUACUUCAGCCAGCACAAGAUCACUGCCAAACUGGACUACUUGAAGAAGACACUUAGGUGGUCAGAUACCGAGGUUGGCAUUGCGGUGUCCAAGGCUCCGGUGUUGCUGACAAGGUCACAUGAUGUGCUGCAGCGUAUGUCAGAGUUCCUUAUCUCUGAGGUGGGGUUGGAGCCGGCCUACAUUGCUCAUCGCCCCGUUAUGCUCACUUACAGCCUGGAGGGCCGGCUCAGGCCCCGCUACUGUGUUGUGAAAUUUCUCAAGGAAAAUGGAUUGCUAGAGCACGGGCGGAGCUACUAUACAUCACUGAUUAGGACUGAGAAGGUUUUCACGGAAAAGUUCAUAUGCCCUCACAAGGAAGCCGCACCACACCUCGCUGAGGACUACGCGGCUGCUUGCAAAGGGGAAGUGCCGGCUAGAUUCAGAUUUACAUGA